Long non-coding RNA from Carlito syrichta (Philippine tarsier), 475 nucleotides. RefSeq lists it as uncharacterized. NCBI's taxonomy places the organism in Eukaryota, Metazoa, Chordata, Mammalia, Primates, Tarsiidae. The transcript is spliced from 2 exons. The record is from RefSeq and is a predicted model, not a curated record.
GGAAACCCUCAGACUGUGGGGCCAGCCAAGGAGUUUCCAUUGGGGCAGGGGCUUGCACUUCCUCCCAGAGAGAGAGAAUUCAUGGAAGAAGGAGAGACCUCGCCUGACCGCCCCUACACCUGCCCUUGCGCCCUUCUCUGGACAGUUCACGAUUCUGCAGGCCCAAACUGAGAUUCUCUCACUGAGUCUGGAGCUGGGCUCUGGAAGGAACAGCCUCCAACUUUCCCUUGGGCAUUACAGUGGAGGGGGGAGUCCAUGGGAACUGGAAGAAGACAGGGAGGUUGUCCCUGCCUGGAGUCAGCACGAGCAGGACCAGGGCCAGGUCCCGCCAGUGGAGUCCUUGCAGAGAGAGCAGAGGCAAGGACGGAGACCCUCCUGCUGCAGGCCGAGCGCCGUGCCCUGUGUGCCUGCUGGCCUGCUGGGCGCUGAAGACACGUGCCAGCGCCCUGCCUGUCAAUAAACGCCUGCUAACACA